AUUGAACGCUGGCGGCAUGCCUUANACAUGCAAGUCGAACGGCAGCACGGGAGCAAUCCUGGUGGCGAGUGGCGAACGGGUGAGUAAUAUAUCGGAACGUGCCCAGUCGUGGGGGAUAACGUAGCGAAAGCUACGCUAAUACCGCAUACGAUCUAUGGAUGAAAGCGGGGGAUCGCAAGACCUCGCGCGAUUGGAGCGGCCGAUAUCAGAUUAGGGUAGUUGGUGAGGUAAAGGCUCACCAAGCCGACGAUCUGUAGCUGGUCUGAGAGGACGACCAGCCACACUGGGACUGAGACACGGCCCAGACUCCUACGGGAGGCAGCAGUGGGGAAUUUUGGACAAUGGGCGCAAGCCUGAUCCAGCAAUGCCGCGUGCAGGAUGAAGGCCUUCGGGUUGUAAACUGCUUUUGUACGGAACGAAACGGUGAGCUCUAAUACAGUUUGCUAAUGACGGUACCGUAAGAAUAAGCACCGGCUAACUACGUG
Molecule: ribosomal RNA, 485 nt
Filed under: uncultured bacterium
Lineage: Bacteria
Description: bacterial SSU rRNA
Rfam family: Bacterial small subunit ribosomal RNA
Source: RNAcentral